UGGUUAGUGAAGCAGUUUAAAUACCCUGAACCCAGGUGACUCCUGGAGGAGCAGAGAGAGAGAGAGAGGUGGUUAGUGAAGCAGUUUAAAUACCCUGAUCCCAGGUGACUCCUGGAGGAGCAGAGAGAGAGAGAGAGAGGUGGUUAGUGAAGCAGUUUAAAUACCCUGAUCCCAGGUGACUCCUGGAGGAGCAGAGAGAGAGAGAGAGAGGUGGUUAGUGAAGCAGUUUAAAUACCCUGAUCCCAGGUGACUCCUGGAGGAGCAGAGAGAGAGAGAGAGGUGGUUAGUGAAGCAGUUUAAAUACCCUGAACCCAGGUGACUCCUGGAGGAGCAGAGAGAGAGAGAGAGAGGUGGUUAGUGAAGCAGUUUAAAUACCCUGAUCCCAGGUGACUCCUGGAGGAGCAGAGAGAGAGAGAGAGAGGUGGUUAGUGAAGCAGUUUAAAUACCCUGAUCCCAGGUGACUCCUGGAGGAGCAGAGAGAGAGAGAGAGAGGUGGUUAGUGAAGCAGUUUAAAUACCCUGAUCCCAGGUGACUCCUGGAGGAGCAGAGAGAGAGAGAGAGAGGUGGUUAGUGAAGCAGUUUAAAUACCCUGAUCCCAGGUGACUCCUGGAGGAGCAGAGAGAGAGAGAGAGAGAGGUGGUUAGUGAAGCAGUUUAAAUACCCUGAACCCAGGUGACUCCUGGAGGAGCAGAGAGAGAGAGAGAGAGGUGGUUAGUGAAGCAGUUUAAAUACCCUGAUCCCAGGUGACUCCUGGAGGAGCAGAGAGAGAGAGAGAGAGAGGUGGUUAGUGAAGCAGUUUAAAUACUCUGAACCCAGGUGACUCCCGGAGGAGCAGAGAGAGAGAGAGAGAGAGGUGGUUAGUGAAGCAGUUUAAAUACCCUGAGCCCAGGUGACUCCUCCAAUCACUAACGACCCUCCUCUGCUUGCAGGAGGAAUCGCCCCUGCACUGCAGAGGAGGGGCCGUGACACUAUAUAGUGCACUAUUUAGCACCCUAU
This is a long non-coding RNA of Oncorhynchus keta (chum salmon), 996 nucleotides long. RefSeq lists it as uncharacterized. The record is from RefSeq and is a predicted model, not a curated record. NCBI's taxonomy places the organism in Eukaryota, Metazoa, Chordata, Actinopteri, Salmoniformes, Salmonidae. The transcript is spliced from 5 exons.